Long non-coding RNA from Tachysurus vachellii, 179 nucleotides. RefSeq lists it as uncharacterized. The transcript is spliced from 3 exons. The record is from RefSeq and is a predicted model, not a curated record. Lineage: Eukaryota; Metazoa; Chordata; Actinopteri; Siluriformes; Bagridae.
AAUAAGGACAUCAAGGAGAUCAAGUAUUCUCUCUGUUUGAUCUCCUAAAUCCUGAAAUACCAGGGAAACAAGUCAUGGCAACAGCUGCCAACUGGUUCUCCCACAGGGCUCUCAGGUUUUGAAGACAGGCAAGAGUGACAACUCCAACCCCCCACCCAAACACAACAAUGAGCCUACCC